GGUCUCUGUGUUGGGCGUCUGUCUGCCCGCAUGCCUGCCUCUCUGUUGCUCUGAAGGAGGCAGGGGCUGGGCCUGCAGCUGCCUGGGCAGAGUGG
This is a microRNA precursor of Ochotona princeps (American pika), 95 nucleotides long. Ensembl annotates it as microRNA 346. Its record names the gene MIR346. The record is from Ensembl. Lineage: Eukaryota; Metazoa; Chordata; Mammalia; Lagomorpha; Ochotonidae.